This 505-nucleotide ribosomal RNA is filed under the name Curvularia hawaiiensis. Its description in RNAcentral is "eukaryotic LSU rRNA". The stretch from base 137 to 290 matches the Rfam family "5.8S ribosomal RNA". The record is from RNAcentral. Lineage: Eukaryota; Fungi; Ascomycota; Dothideomycetes; Pleosporales; Pleosporaceae.
GGCUGGACUAUUUAUUACCCUUGUCUUUUGCGCACUUGUUGUUUCCUGGGCGGGUUCGCUCGCCACCAGGACCACAAUAUAAACCUUUUUUAUGCAGUUGCAAUCAGCGUCAGUAUAACAAAUGUAAAUCAUUUACAACUUUCAACAACGGAUCUCUUGGUUCUGGCAUCGAUGAAGAACGCAGCGAAAUGCGAUACGUAGUGUGAAUUGCAGAAUUCAGUGAAUCAUCGAAUCUUUGAACGCACAUUGCGCCCUUUGGUAUUCCAAAGGGCAUGCCUGUUCGAGCGUCAUUUGUACCCUCAAGCUUUGCUUGGUGUUGGGCGUUUUUGUCCCCCCCAAAAAGGGGACUCGCCUUAAAAGGAUUGGCAGCCGGCCUACUGGUUUCGCAGCGCAGCACAUUUUUGCGCUUGCAAUCAGCAAAAGAGGACGGCAAUCCAUCAAGACUCCUUCUCACGUUUGACCUCGGAUCAGGUAGGGAUACCCGCUGAACUUAAGCAUAUCAAUA